UAGUUAGCACACAUAGAAUUUAAUGACAUGCAUUUUUUUUAAAGAGUAUGCAUUUAUCUUUCCAAUGAUGUAUGAUGAUAUAGUGGGUAUGCGCUUGAUCAUGGUAAAAAUUGAUAUCGAACUUCAACUAUUUUAUAUGUAAUAAAGAAGGAAAUUAAUUGCGCAUGCGUAACCUUUAAGCACAUCCAGCAUUAUUUGUCGUCUGCCAGAAUUUUGACAAUUGACCAUCAAAAACUCUCUGUAUUGCAAAACAUAACUGCCAGAUGUCAUUUGACCCAAAUUAGGGCUGUUUGCAAUUGGGCUGUUGCACUUGGGGUCAUAAGGGGGGUCAUGCUGGAAAAUCACACCGAAACCUGUUCCGGAGACAUAUUCUAAGACUACUUAAACACUCUGUAUUGUUUUUCAGUGACAUUUUGACAUUAAUUUGCAUCAAUCUCAAUAAUGAACUUUAUGCAUGUGUUUACUUCAUCUGUAUGUAUUAUUAUUGUUUACUUUUUGAGCCUUUUACUGUUAAAAAUGCCUGCCAAGUUUGGACCGACACUGCUAUCGGCCUUCACCUUCAACCUCGUCAGGCAGAUCUACUCAGAAUAACACUACUUUGCCUUAUUUUCAUGUUUGGAUAUCUUGCAGGGUUUAAGUAAAAUCAAGUAUUCAGCAAAAACACAAAAAUGCUAAUAGUAUUAUGCUUUCUUUCCUGGAAGAAUGUUGUUGUGAUAGACCCUGUGUGAAAAACACCAGGGAAUCUGUAUUUAAGUGACCUCAAUAUUAUGCGUAAACCUAAGUGUGCAUUUGUAGGCGGUGUCGAAAUGGGUCUUUAGCUCUGCCUGAACUGUCGUCCAAUUGGUUUACAAGUCCGGCUGAAGUGACAGGCCAUCAAAAACUGUACAGCAUGACUGAUUUGGAGACGGCCCUCAACACUCGCCCAGUCGUGUCGAGAGGAUCGGUGUCUUUGCAGAUUACCCGGGCCAGACUGACACUUUUCGGAGCCUGUCCAAGACGGAACUCGAGCCGAGGAAUCAUAGGUCCAGAAGCUGUCAUGGGUUCCUUGAAAUGCUGCAGAAGUUGAAAUUGAGUGCAGGGAAUGGUUUCAAACAGCCUCGUGACGGUGGCAGAAAAGCAAGGGCUGACAAGAAACGUGAUGAAGCGUCGCAAUUUAUUAUAACUCGUUUGUUUAAACUGUGAAAUAAGUCUUCCACUGGAAUCAUUUAUUAUGUAAAGGUCUCUUUGAACUUGUAAUUACUCAUUUUACACAACUUUUAUGCAUAAUGAUGGAAACAGUGUUUUUAUUAUUAUUAUUUUUAGCCUUUAUUACCUAAUGAGCUUAAAUUUUGUAUGUGUUACUUUUCAAUAUAUUCGUGUUAUAAUCAUUUUAAUUUGUCUUUUUUUUUAAAGAAAACUCAGUCGCUUUGUCAUUAAACAGUUUGUUUUAAAAUGUUAAAUUUUUAGUUGCUGUACCAGUAGAAUUAUAUAGACUUUUUACAUAAUUUGUUUUCCAUUUGUUAGCUUUGGUAUACAUGUAUAUAAAUAUGUUUUACACCUUUAGAAUAAUAAUGUUGGAAUGAGUAAUACAUAAGCAUAUUGUUUUACAUUUUCAGUUAAGUUAGUUAGUUAUUAACAAAUACUUUAAUUGUUCCAGUUUGGUGGAAUGGAAUGUUAAAAUAAAACUUUGUUUAAAGGAAAUUUGUCUAUCAUUUAUUUUAAGGAACUGGUUAAAUGGUAGGCCCUUAAUAAUACCAACAACAAUUACAAAUAAUUGAGGCCAGACAGGGACUGGGGAAUGGUUAAAAGUACCAAUACUAUGUUGUUGUUUUUGUUGUUGCUGGAUAGCAAUUUGCUGAAUUUACUUGUUACAAUUUUGUGUGUAGCGUAUGACUAGUAUGUUGUAUUAUGCUGACUAGUCUUGUUACUAUUUUUUGUGUAUCGUAUGACUUAAUUGUUGUAUUUUGCUGACUAGUCUUAUUUGUAACCAUGUUUUGUGUAUCGUAUGACUACUAUGUUGUACUUUGCUGACUAGUCUUACUUGUUACUUUUAUGUGUAUCGUAUGACUUCACUGUUGUAUUUUGCUGACUAGUCCUAUUUGUUACUAUGUUUUGUGUAUCGUAUGACUACUAUGUUGUACUUUGCUGACUGGUCUUCUUUGUUGCUAUUUUGUGUGUAUCAUAUGACUACUAUGUUGUAUUUUGCUGACUGGUCUUCUAUGUUGCUAUUUUGUGUGUAUCAUAUGACUACUAUGUUGUAUUUUGCUGACUAGUCGUACUUGCUACUAUUUUUUGUGUAACGUUUGACGACUAUGUUGUAUUUUGCUGACUAGUCUUACUUGUUACUAUUUUUGUGUAUCGUAUGACUACUAUGUUGUAUUUUGCUGACUAGUCUUAAUUGUUACUAUUGUAUGGGUAUCGUACGCUAUCCAGUUUAAAGAAAUGGUAAUUUUAUUAAUUGCCAGGGUAUAUAGACCAGUUUUGAUAAUAUGGGUGAUAUGAACCAUUUAUACAAGUAUGUUUGGUAAUUUUCCAUGUAUCCAUUAUGCCUGUUGGGUACAUUCGUUUUUUCAUAAUUCUCAAUUUUAUUUUCAUUUGCUGAAUAUUCUAUUACCAAAAUACAAUACUCAAGUAAUUUGGUCAUUUAACAUUUUGUUUCAAUAUGUUACUUUUUCAGUUUCUGUACCUGUAGAACUAUAGAGUCUGUUUAAAUAAUUUCUUUUACAUUUGUUGUUAGUCAAUGUAUAUAUUAAUAAAGUUUACACCAUUAGAAUCAAAAUGUUGGAAUUAGUAAUAAAUCAGUUUAUUAUUUUCACUUAUUUUCAGUUUCAAGACAGUAGUAUAAUUAGCAAAUACUGUGUUCCAGUUUGGUUGAAAAGAAUGUAAAAAUAAAAUGUUGUUUGAAGAAAAUGUUCUUUCAUUAAUAAAGAAACUGU
Molecule: long non-coding RNA, 2915 nt
Organism: Dreissena polymorpha
Lineage: Eukaryota; Metazoa; Mollusca; Bivalvia; Myida; Dreissenidae
Exons: 3
Source: RefSeq, a predicted model, not a curated record